RNAcentral lists this transfer RNA (74 nucleotides) under SAR202 cluster bacterium AD-804-J14_MRT_500m. RNAcentral's name for it is "tRNA-Gln". It matches the Rfam family "tRNA". Rfam says of the family: Transfer RNA (tRNA) molecules are approximately 80 nucleotides in length. The record is from RNAcentral. Lineage: Bacteria; Bacillati; Chloroflexota; Dehalococcoidia.
UGCCGAGUGGUGUAGUGGUAUCACACGUGACUCUGGAUCACGUAACCCUGGUUCGAAUCCAGGCUCGGCAGCCA